Carassius gibelio (silver crucian carp) is the source of this 1441-nucleotide long non-coding RNA. RefSeq lists it as uncharacterized. The transcript is spliced from 2 exons. The record is from RefSeq and is a predicted model, not a curated record. Lineage: Eukaryota; Metazoa; Chordata; Actinopteri; Cypriniformes; Cyprinidae.
GUGACCACCUGUACCGGUUUUUCCUGAAGAUGUGCCACAGGCUCGUCGGCCCAAAGCGGGUAAAUGACGAGAAUUAAAGCAGAGCUGCAUUCAGACCUGUACGCCGACACGACACACCUAAACCUCGCUGCCCCUUUACUCACGGAGGAGAAAGUGUCGAGGGGGACGCUUUAAAACCGCUCGGAGGUUGUCAGCGGGUGUGUAAAUACCUAUGUUUCGACACGACACCAGACGAGCGCUUGGGCAGUUUCUCUCUCUCAGAUGUUGCAUGAAUGCCGCAGUUUCUGAGCUGCAGUGCACAUUGCUGGGAAUCGUGGCUGAGAUGAGCAGCAGAUUUCAGUCAUUGUUUCUAGUAGUGGGCGCUGCAGAUAUUCAGCUUCGGAGCGCCUUGAAUCAGAUUCACAAUCCUCAGAAGAAAAUGGUCCACGGCGCGCACAUCUACAAUUGUGUGUGUGUGUGUGUGUUUUUUGGCGCCUGAUGGCAGUAGAGCUCAAGGAAAGCGAGGUAGAAUCACAGGAAAGCGCCUCUGUCACAUGUAAGGAUCUGCACCAUUUACACUUGCAAGUAACCGUGAAAAUCUUCGGCAUGUAGGUGAACCUGGCCAGGACUCAGGAGAGGCAGCUGUUGGCAUUCACACUUCCUCAUUCAUGAGUAAUUGAUGCCUUUAUGCAGAAAAUAACCACACCAGAAUUUGCAUUUCUUCAUUUGUAGCCAUUCAUUUGAGGGUUUCUAUGUAAUCGCUGUUGUCUUUGGUUGGGAUGUGACAAAGAGAAGAAACAAAAGUGUUGAAGCUGUGAAUGUGAACUGAUUAUCUAUUCAUGAUGGUUCCAUGUGUUUUUUUUUUUUUUUUUUUACUGUUUUUCAUAAUGGUUUUAAUGACCGUGUUGUAGCCACUGUUAUAACAAGUACACAAAACCAUUAUUUUGAAUAUUUACAAACUUGAGCAAAGAGGUUCAUCAGGGUUGCCUCUGUGAUAUCACUUCCUGUCACAUGACAAUAAAAUGAAAGUGAGGAAAAAAACAAAAACUCUUCCUUUUGUAAAUGACUUUAAAAUAAAAUGCUUAUAUGCCUUGGAAGAAUUAAGACUUUAAAUACUUAGUGAUCAUAAGGCUACUUACUAUUCAAUGACCCUUUGCUUUAUGAAUAAAUAAUUGCAUAAUAAAAUAAAGAAAUAAUAUGGUCCCAAAUCUGCUAGCUCCAGAAAAAUAAUUAAUUUAGGUACAACUUACGACAUGGCUCUUGUGUUUUUUUUUAUUUUUCAUCUAUUUGCUCAAAGUAAGUUUACUAUUUUCUGUAAGAUACCAUUGCAACAAUUUGUAAAUUGUAUUCAGAAGUUGUUGUUGUUUUUGUGUGUGUGUGGUGACUGGUUUACUUAAGGACAAAACAAGCAAAACUAAGCAAAUGAACAAACAAAAAGCAAAUAAAUGCAAUACAAAACCUU